RNAcentral lists this ribosomal RNA (552 nucleotides) under uncultured bacterium. RNAcentral describes it as "partial 16S ribosomal RNA". It matches the Rfam family "Bacterial small subunit ribosomal RNA", at positions 355 to 895 of the family's 1533-position model. The record is from RNAcentral.
UAGGGAAUCUUCCACAAUGGACGCAAGUCUGAUGGAGCAACGCCGCGUGAGUGAAGAAGGUUUUCGGACCGUAAAGCUCUGUUGUUGGUGAAGAAGGAUAGAGGUAGUAACUGGCCUUUAUUUGACGGUAAUCAACCAGAAAGUCACGGCUAACUACGUGCCAGCAGCCGCGGUAAUACGUAGGUGGCAAGCGUUGUCCGGAUUUAUUGGGCGUAAAGCGAGCGCAGGCGGAAGAAUAAGUCUGAUGUGAAAGCCCUCGGCUUAACCGAGGAAUUGCAUCGGAAACUGUUUUCUUGAGUGCAGAAGAGGAGAGUAGAACUCCAUGUGUAGCGGUGGAAUGCGUAGAUAUAUGGAAGAAUACCAGCGGCGAAGGCGGCUCUCUGGUCUGCAACUGACGCUGAGGCUCGAAAAGCAUGGGUAGCGAACAGGAUUAGAUACCCUGGUAGUCCAUGCCGUAAAACGAUGAGUGCUAAGUGUUGGGAGGCUUCCGCCUCUCAGUGCUGCAGCUAACGCAUUAAGCACUCCGCCUGGGGGAGUACGACCGCAAAGGUU